CCUACGGGAGGCAGCAGUGAGGAAUAUUGGUCAAUGGGCGGAAGCCUGAACCAGCCAAGUCGCGUGAGGGAUUAAGGCCCUGCGGGUCGUAAACCUCUUUUGCCGGGGAGCAGUGGUCCGGACGCGUCCGGACCGGGAGAGUACCCGGAGAAACAGCAUCGGCUAAAUCCGUGCCAGCAGCCGCGGUAAUACGGAGUAUGCGAGCGUUAUCCGGAUUUAUGGGGUUUAAAGGGUGCGUAGGCGGGCAUUUAAGCCGGCGGUCAAGUGUCGGGGCUCAACCCCGGCCUGCCGUCGGAACUGGGGGCCUUGAGUGGGCGAGAAGUAUGCGGAAUGCGUGGCGUAGCGGUGAAAUGCAUAGAUAUCACGCAGAACCCCGAUUGCGAAGGCAGCAUACCGGCGCCCUACUGACGCUGAGGCACGAAAGUGCGGGUAUCGAACAGGAUUAGAUACCUAGUAGUC
RNAcentral lists this ribosomal RNA (459 nucleotides) under uncultured bacterium. RNAcentral's name for it is "partial 16S ribosomal RNA". It matches the Rfam family "Bacterial small subunit ribosomal RNA", at positions 338 to 795 of the family's 1533-position model. The record is from RNAcentral.